Molecule: non-coding RNA, 102 nt
Filed under: Bacillus sp. (in: firmicutes)
Lineage: Bacteria; Bacillati; Bacillota; Bacilli; Caryophanales; Bacillaceae
Description: Bacillus sp. Guanine sequence
Rfam family: Purine riboswitch aptamer
About the family: Riboswitches are metabolite binding domains within certain messenger RNAs that serve as precision sensors for their corresponding targets. Allosteric rearrangement of mRNA structure is mediated by ligand binding, and this results in modulation of gene expression. A class of riboswitches that selectively recognises guanine and becomes saturated at concentrations as low as 5 nM.
Source: RNAcentral
GUUAAUAUUGUCGAAUCGCGUCGUAUAAUGUUGGGGAUAUGGCCCAAGAGUUUCUACCGAGCCACCGUAAAUGGCUUGACUACGAGGCAGUGAUAAAUGGUG